RNAcentral lists this non-coding RNA (55 nucleotides) under Spodoptera frugiperda (fall armyworm). The record is from RNAcentral. Lineage: Eukaryota; Metazoa; Arthropoda; Insecta; Lepidoptera; Noctuidae.
CAGACGGGUUUCAUCCCGCGCUCCGAGCGGUAGCGCGAGAUGAAACCUGUCAUCC